RNAcentral lists this long non-coding RNA (480 nucleotides) under Numida meleagris (helmeted guineafowl). RNAcentral describes it as "lncRNA (ENSNMEG00000007831.1)". Lineage: Eukaryota; Metazoa; Chordata; Aves; Galliformes; Numididae. The record is from RNAcentral.
AUGUGUGGCUGUCCUCCUUGCCUCGUCAGAACUGUAAGCCUGAGCCAGCUAAAUACCAUGUCUGCUUCUGGCAACACAAGUAACGAGAAGCCCAGCAAACACAGUCUACUACUUGAGAACAGACAUCAACAGAGAGAGGAUGCAUUCAGAAUUCGGGUGUUGCCUUGUGCUAGUUCUGUAUUUAAAUUUCCUUUGGGGAAAAACAAGGACUUCGUCUGAGAUUUUGAUGAUCACAGACAAUGUUAUUAAUAAUAGAUUGGAAAUGAAGAAUGAGAGCCUAUUCAUCAAAGACCAUAUCGAAAGGACAUACCAACUCUGGCUUGUUGGACUGAUUGCUGUAUGAAAGUGAUAGUGUAAUUUGUACAGCAGAUGCCUAACAGUAGCAUCUGAAGAGUCCCUGAAUUACACUGUUCUCAAGAAGAUGUAUGCAUCUUGUCAUCUUUGCAAAUUGUCACAAUAAAAUUUUAGAAUAGAAAUACA